RNAcentral lists this ribosomal RNA (376 nucleotides) under uncultured bacterium. Its description in RNAcentral is "bacterial SSU rRNA". It matches the Rfam family "Bacterial small subunit ribosomal RNA", at positions 28 to 406 of the family's 1533-position model. The record is from RNAcentral.
GAUGAACGUUGGCGGCGUGCCUAAUACAUGCAAGUCGAACGAAGACUGUAGUAAUACUGUCUUAGUGGCGAACGGGUGAGUAACGCGUGGGUGACCUGCCCCGAAGUGUGGGAUAACAGUCCGAAAGGAUUGCUAAUACUGCAUAAUAUCCAAGAGAUUAGAUGCUUUUGGAUUAAAGGAGUAAUUCGCUUCGGAAGGGGCCCGCGUCCCAUCAGCUAGUUGGUAAGGUAAUGGCUUACCAAGGCGAUGACGGGUAGGGGACCUGAGAGGGUGGCCCCCCACAAUGGAACUGAAACACGGUCCAUACACCUACGGGUGGCAGCAGUAGGGAAUAUUAGUAAUGGGCGAAAGCCUGAACUAGCAACGCCGCGUGUGC